UGGGGAAUAUUGCACAAUGGGCGAAAGCCUGAUGCAGCAACGCCGCGUGAGUGAUGAAGGUCUUCGGAUUGUAAAGCUCUGUCUUUUGGGACGAUAAUGACGGUACCAAAGGAGGAAGCCACGGCUAACUACGUGCCAGCAGCCGCGGUAAUACGUAGGUGGCGAGCGUUGUCCGGAUUUACUGGGCGUAAAGGGUGCGUAGGCGGAUGUUUAAGUGAGAUGUGAAAUACCCGGGCUUAACUUGGGUGCUGCAUUUCAAACUGGAUAUCUAGAGUGCAGGAGAGGAGAAUGGAAUUCCUAGUGUAGCGGUGAAAUGCGUAGAGAUUAGGAAGAACACCAGUGGCGAAGGCGAUUCUCUGGACUGUAACUGACGCUGAGGCACGAAAGCGUGGGUAGCAAACAGGAUUAGAUACCCUGGUAGUCCACGCCGUAAACGAUGAGUACUAGGUGUAGGAGGUAUCGACCCCUUCUGUGCCGCAGUAAACACAUUAAGUACU
This 497-nucleotide ribosomal RNA is filed under the name uncultured bacterium. RNAcentral's name for it is "partial 16S ribosomal RNA". It matches the Rfam family "Bacterial small subunit ribosomal RNA", at positions 355 to 868 of the family's 1533-position model. The record is from RNAcentral.